GUGAGUAACACGUGAGCAACCUGCCCUAGGCUUUGGGAUAACCCUCGGAAACGGGGGCUAAUACCGGAUACAACCUUUGGUCGCAUGACUGGGGGUGGAAAGUUUUUCGGCCUGGGAUGGGCUCGCGGCCUAUCAGCUUGUUGGUGGGGUGAUGGCCUACCAAGGCGACGACGGGUAGCCGGCCUGAGAGGGCGACCGGCCACACUGGGACUGAGACACGGCCCAGACUCCUACGGGAGGCAGCAGUGGGGAAUAUUGCACAAUGGGCGGAAGCCUGAUGCAGCGACGCCGCGUGAGGGAUGACGGCCUUCGGGUUGUAAACCUCUUUCAGCAGGGACGAAGCGCAAGUGACGGUACCUGCAGAAGAAGCGCCGGCCAACUACGUGCCAGCAGCCGCGGUAAGACGUAGGGCGCGAGCGUUGUCCGGAUUUAUUGGGCGUAAAGAGCUCGUAGGCGGCUUG
Molecule: ribosomal RNA, 461 nt
Filed under: Micromonospora carbonacea
Lineage: Bacteria; Bacillati; Actinomycetota; Actinomycetes; Micromonosporales; Micromonosporaceae
Description: bacterial SSU rRNA
Rfam family: Bacterial small subunit ribosomal RNA
Source: RNAcentral